AAGUCGUAACAAGGUUUCCGUAGGUGAACCUGCGGAAGGAUCAUUCACAAUGAGUGUUUAUGGCACUCUUAAUCCCAUAUCCACCUUGUGUGCAAUGUCUUGAAGAUUAUCAAUUGGAUGAGAGUCCAAUUGAACAACUCUUUUUUUUUUUUUUUAUCACACCUUUUUAUUUUAUUUUAUUUUUUUUUUUUUUCCUUGAAUCGUCUGAUUUAAAGAAUAAAUAAAAUGAUAAUACAACUUUCAACAACGGAUCUCUUGGCUCUC
RNAcentral lists this unclassified non-coding RNA (264 nucleotides) under fungal sp. Its description in RNAcentral is "partial internal transcribed spacer region". The stretch from base 1 to 46 matches the Rfam family "Eukaryotic small subunit ribosomal RNA", at positions 1786 to 1831 of the family's 1831-position model. The record is from RNAcentral. Lineage: Eukaryota; Fungi.